AUUGAACGCUGGCGGCAGGCCUAACACAUGCAAGUCGAACGGUAACAGGAAGAAGCUUGCUUCUUUGCUGACGAGCGGCGGACGGGUGAGUCAUGUCUGGGAAACUGCCUGAUGGAGGGGGAUAACUACUGGAAACGGUAGCUAAUACCGCAUAACGUCGCAAGACCAAAGAGGGGGACCUUCGGGCCUCUUGCCAUCGGAUGUGCCCAGAUGGGAUUAGCUAGUAGGUGGGGUAACGGCUCACCUAGGCGACGAUCCCUAGCUGGUCUGAGAGGAUGACCAGCCACACUGGAAGUGAGACACGGUCCAGACUCCUACGGGAGGCAGCAGUGGGGAAUAUUGCACAAUGGGCGCAAGCCUGAUGCAGGCAUGCCGCGUGUAUGAAGAAGGCCUUCGGGUUGUAAAGUACUUUCAGCGGGGAGGAAGGGAGUAAAGUUAAUACCUUUGCUCAUUGACGUUACCCGCAGAAGAAGCACCGGCUAACUCCGUG
This 490-nucleotide ribosomal RNA is filed under the name uncultured bacterium. RNAcentral's name for it is "partial 16S ribosomal RNA". It matches the Rfam family "Bacterial small subunit ribosomal RNA", at positions 30 to 507 of the family's 1533-position model. The record is from RNAcentral.